UUGAACGCUGGCGGCAGGCCUAACACAUGCAAGUCGAGCGUGAAAAGUUUUCGGACUUAGUAAAGCGGCGGACGGGUGAGUAACGCGUAGGAAUCUACCUAGUAGUGGGGGAUAACCUGUUGAAAAGCAGGCUAAUACCGCAUACGACCUAAGGGUGAAAGUGGGGGAUCUUCGGACCUCAUGCUAUUAGAUGAGCCUGCGUUAGAUUAGCUAGUUGGUAGGGUAAAGGCCUACCAAGGCGACGAUCUAUAGCUGUUCUGAGAGGAUGAUCAGCCACACUGGGACUGAGACACGGCCCAGACUCCUACGGGAGGCAGCAGUGGGGAAUAUUGGACAAUGGGGGCAACCCUGAUCCAGCCAUGCCGCGUGUGUGAAGAAGGCCUUAGGGUUGUAAAGCACUUUCAGUAGGGAGGAAAGGUUGGUAGUUAAUAGCUACUAGCUGUGACGUUACCUACAGAAGAAGCACCGGCUAACUCCGU
This 479-nucleotide ribosomal RNA is filed under the name uncultured bacterium. RNAcentral's name for it is "bacterial SSU rRNA". It matches the Rfam family "Bacterial small subunit ribosomal RNA", at positions 30 to 506 of the family's 1533-position model. The record is from RNAcentral.